Long non-coding RNA from Mandrillus leucophaeus (drill), 680 nucleotides. RefSeq lists it as uncharacterized. The transcript is spliced from 4 exons. The record is from RefSeq and is a predicted model, not a curated record. NCBI's taxonomy places the organism in Eukaryota, Metazoa, Chordata, Mammalia, Primates, Cercopithecidae.
UUCUGCCAACGAUUCAUCUUCAGAAGACAAGCAGAUGAGGAGACAAAACCUACUGAUGUGGGUACCCAAGCAGGAACCCCCCUCUUGCACCGGCGACUCAAGUGGGAAGAAGAAUUCACUGAGUUGAAAUGGAGUGAGAACUACGAUGCUCUCAGAAUAUCUUUAAAAUGUGCUGCAAAGAAGCCUGGGUGAGUAGAAGAAAAUAAAAGGAAUGGUGGAUACAAGGAAAGGUUAAAAUGAGAGCCCGUUUAUCGCACUAGCUGCUGGUGAUUUGAGCGCUCCUUUCCAAGCCUCUUGAGAGUUCCGCUCUAACAACACUGCCCCCUAGUGUUCUCUCGCUUUGGUGCAAUUGCAGGUUUCUCAUACUUCAUGGAGAAAUAGAAAGGACCAGAUGACAGCCACCACACAUUUUUGUCCCCAUUGCUAUAAGAUGCUUCUAACCAUCGUAAAAUUAUGAAACACUGAAUUCCUUAAAAGUUGUCCACUUGCGGAUUUAUCUGAUGGUAACUAUUAAAUAUUUAAAAGUAACUUUAAUGAAUCUACUUGUGAUGAUUGUGUGAGUAAUCUAUUCUCUGAAUUCCACCAAAAAACCAUUUUAUGACCAAAGUCAUAACGAACAUAUUUCUAUAGUCCUAAGCUGGCAAGAUAAAUAGAGAUCUGCUUAUAAUAUAAACAACAUA